GAUGAACGCUGGCGGCGUGCCUAAUACAUGCAAGUCGAGCGAACGGACGAGAAGCUUGCUUCUCUGAUGUUAGCGGCGGACGGGUGAGUAACACGUGGAUAACCUACCUAUAAGACUGGGAUAACUUCGGGAAACCGGAGCUAAUACCGGAUGAUAUUUUGAACCGCAUGGUUCAAAAGUGAAAGACGGUCUUGCUGUCACUUAUAGAUGGAUCCGCGCUGCAUUAGCUAGUUGGUAAGGUAACGGCUUACCAAGGCAACGAUGCAUAGCCGACCUGAGAGGGUGAUCGGCCACACUGGAGCUGAGACACGGUCCAGACGCCUACGGGAGGCAGCAGUAGGGAAUCUUCCGCAAUGGGCGAAAGCCUGACGGAGCAACGCCGCGUGAGUGAUGAAGGUCUUCGGAUCGUAAAACUCUGUUAUUAGGGAAGAACAUAUGUGUAAGUAACUGUGCACAUCUUGACGGUACCUAAUCAGAAAGCCACGGCUAACUACGUG
RNAcentral lists this ribosomal RNA (497 nucleotides) under uncultured bacterium. Its description in RNAcentral is "partial 16S ribosomal RNA". It matches the Rfam family "Bacterial small subunit ribosomal RNA", at positions 28 to 507 of the family's 1533-position model. The record is from RNAcentral.